Pieris napi is the source of this 451-nucleotide long non-coding RNA. RefSeq lists it as uncharacterized. The transcript is spliced from 2 exons. The record is from RefSeq and is a predicted model, not a curated record. NCBI's taxonomy places the organism in Eukaryota, Metazoa, Arthropoda, Insecta, Lepidoptera, Pieridae.
AAUGACACAUUGUUUUGGUAGGUUUGAAGAACAAUCAAAGAUGAUGUAGUACGUUGUGUUUGCUGUAUGCGGUAGAAUAUGAGAUGAUGUCUUAGGGUAAUUAAAUCCGCAUCCUAAAUUAAUUUUUGGCAUAUGUAAGUCUUUUCCUUAGCUAUCGAUGACGUGUAAUGUGUUUAAAAUUGCUGAUUAAAGAGUAUGAGCUUAUCUAUUUGCCUACAAUUUUAAAUGAAAAACAGAGAAAUAUGUGUGAUAAUCAAUGUAUGUCAACCUAGGUUUAGAGUUUAUUUCAGAUGCAAAUAUAUUUUGCUUAUGUUAACUUCAAUUCGAAUUCUCAAUAUUUGUAAAUAUCAAUCGAAUGGUGUCGAAAUAUUUCGAAGCCCUGCCGUGUACUGCCUGUAAGCUCGAAGCAUAUUAUAUUUUAUUAAAUUGAAUAAAAACCACGCGUUUGUGA